CCGCCCUUAUCCCCCCUCACCUUCGCCCUCUCCCACCCCAUCGCCCGUCGCCCUCGCCGUCCCCUCUCGUUCCUUCCUCUCACUGUGCACCUCUCUGCGCCCGUCACCCGCCUUCACUGCGCGCUUCCGUUACCCUGCACCAACUACGCCCCUUAGUCCCUUCCCGCACCCUCUCGGUUUCCCAGCCCGCACCCUUCCGCUCCCCAGCACCUUCUCCGCCCUGUCUGCGCACUCCCUGCCCGCCACACCGCCGCUCCUCACCGCGCUCUCUCCGCUCCCCAUCCCCCACCCCCGUUCCUGGCCUCCUUUGGAUCGGGAUACCACCGAGAAGUACCCAGGUUGACUGGGAGGAGGGGAGUUGGGACCCAGCCUGGCUUGCUUAGUGUUGUGUGAACCUGGGCAAGGCCCUGCCCCUCUCUGGUCUCAGGGUCCUCGUCUCCCAAUAUGCAAAAUGUGAAUUUUCACAAAGUGAACAUAUCCAUGCAGCCAGCACGCAGACCAAGAAAAAGAACAAUUUCCAGAACCCUCCACAGCCUGUCCACUUCCAGUCACUUACCACCAAAAAGGUAACUAUCUUGACUUCAAAUUGCAUAGUUUUACUUGUUUUUGAACUGUAUAUAAACAGAAUAAUAUAGCAUGCACUCUUUUAUACCUUGCUGCUUUUGCUCAAAAUUGUAUUUGAUACAUCUAUGUUGCUAUGUGUAGUUGUAGUUAAUCCAUUCUCACACCUUUAAUAUUCUAUUAUAUAAAUAGACCACAUUUUACUGUUGAUGAACAUUUGGGUUAUCUCCAAUUUUGUUUAUUACACUUCUUUUUUCUUUUUUUUGGAGACAGAGUCUCGCUCUGUCGCCUAGGUUGGAGUGCAGUGGCGCCAUCUUGGCUCACUGCAACCUCCCACCUCCCAGGUUCAAGCGAUUCUCCUGCCUCAGCGUCUCAAGUAGCUGGGAUUACAGGUGCCGGCCACCACGCCCAGAUAAUUUGUGUAUUUUAGUAGAGAUGGGAUUUCAUCAUGUUGGCCAGGCUGGUCUUGAACUCCUGAGCUCGGGUGAUCCACCCACCUCAGCCUCCCAAAGUGCUGGGAUUACAGGCAUGAGCCACCAUGCCCGGCCUUAUUACAUAUAUCAUAAAAUGCUGCUAUGGACGCUGUUGAACAUGUCUCUUAUGAACAUAGGUACUGUUGGGUAAAUACUGUUGGGUAAAUACCUAGGUGUGGAAUCACAGGGUCAUAAGGUAUGCAUAUGUUCAGCUUUAGUAGAUAGGGCCAGACCUUUUUUUUUCUUUUUUUUUUUUUUUUUUUGGAGAUAGGAUCUCCCUCUGUAGCCCAGGCUGGAGUGCAGGCCAAACAUGGCUCACUGCAGCCUCCACCUCCUGGACUCAGGCAGUCCUCCUGCCUCAGCCUCCCAAGUAGCUGGGACCACGAGGUGUGUCACCACGCCCUGCUAAUUUUAUUUUUAUUUGUUAGUAGAGACAUGGUCUCACUGUGUUGCCUAGGCUGGAGCUAGACAUUUUGUUUUCUUUCUUUCUUUCUUUCUUUUUUUUGCUCUUGUGGAGCCAGGCAUUUUGAAAGGGUGUACCAGUAAUAUCUGGAGAGUUCCAGUUGUUCUACAUUCUCAACACUUGACAUUGUCCCAUUGUCCUUGUAGUAUUAGGCAUUUUUAGGCAUUUUUUUUUUCGAGAUGGAGUCUUGCUCUGUUGCCCAGGCUGGAGUGCAGUGGCAUGAUCUCAGCUAACUGCAACCUCCGCCUCCUGGGUUCAAGCAAUUCUCCUGCCUCAACCUCCUGAGUAGCUGGAAUUACAAGCGCGCACCACCACACCUGGCUAUUUUUGUGUGUGUGUGUUUUUAGUAGAGACGGGGUUUCACCAUGUUGGCCAGGCUGGUCUCAAACUCCUGAUCUCGUGAUCCACCCACCUCGGCCUCCCAAAGUGCUGGGAUUACAGGCAUGAGCCACUGCGCCUAGCCAGUAUUAGGCACUUUUGUGGAUGUAUUGUGGUAUCUCAUUGUGGUUUUAAGUUUAAUUUCUCCACUAAUGAAGAUAACACUUUUUCAUAUAUGUAUUGGUUUUCAUUUUUUAUUUACAUAGCCACACAUGAAUAUAUCCUUGUUACAUAUAAUACAUGAAUAGAAAUAAUACAUAUAAAGCUAAAGUCCCUCUAAAACGAAUCCCUUCACUAGUUUUAUUUUUAAUUGAAAAAAAAUUUUUUUGUAGCAAUGGGGUCUUGCUUUGUUGCCCAGGCUGGUCUUGAACUCCUGGUCUCAAGCAAUCCUGCCACCUUGGCCUCCUAAAGCACUGGGAUUACAGGUGUGAGCCACCAUGCCCAGCUCCUUCCCGAGUUUUGAGCACUGGGCUUGGAGUUAAGAGACCUGAAUUCCAGCCUUGGUCUGCCACUGACUAGAUUGCUGUCUGAUUUUGGACAGGUCACCUCUCUGGGUCUGUCUCCCCAUCUAUAAAAUCAGAGUGUUUAACUAGAUAGUCUCUAAGGAUCUUUUUUCUUUAAUAUUCUGAUCACUGUUUCUGUGAUCCUAAGAACCUCCAUUAGGUAAAAAUGGCCAUUUGCCUUACUAUCCAUUCUCUCCAUCUUCCUUAGUAACUGAACUCCCGAGUUUUAGUUGAGCAUAUGGCUGGCCCACUAGACUAUUUCCAGCCUCCCUUACAACUGGGCAUGACCAUGUGACUAAUUUGAGACAAGGGUGUGUAGACAGAAAUGAUGUGUGCAACUUUUGGGUCAUGACUUUAUAAAGAAGGGUCAUGCCCUCCACUUGCUCUUCUCUUCCUGCUGGCUGGAAAGAGGACCUGAUGAUGGGAACUGGCCCAGCCAUUUGUUUUGUUUUUCAGAUAGGGUCUCACACUGUUUCCUGUGCUACAGUGCAGGGGUGCAAUCACGACUCACUGCAUCCUUGACCUCUUGGGCUCGCUCCUCCCUCAGCCUCCUGAGUAACUGGGACCACAGGCAUGCGCCACCACACCCAGAUAAUUCUGUAUUUUUUGUAGAGACGUGGUUUCCUCAUGUUGCCUAAGCUAGUCUCAAACUCUUGGACUCGAGUGAUCCACCCAUCUCAGCCUCCCAAAGUGUUGGGAUUACAGAUGUGAGCCACUGUGCCCAGCACCAGCCAUCUUUGUUCAUGAGAUGGAGGCCAAGAUAUGUUGACGAUGACAGAACAAGGCAAGAGCUGAGACCCCUCACAACAUAUCGCUGACAUAUCAGCCCUGGAUUGCUUAGAAGUAAAUUUUCAUCUCAAGCUAUCAUUAUUUCAGCUUUUGUUAUAUCCACUGAACCUGAAUCCUGAUUAAUACAGAGUGACUGAAGAAUGACUUUUUUUUUUUGAGACAAAGUCUGACUCUGUUGCCCAGGAUGGGGUGUAGCGGCACGAUCUUGGCUCACUGCAACCUCUGCAUCCCGCGUUCAAGUGAUUCUCCUGCCUCAGCCUCCCAAGUAGGUGGGACUACAGGCGCCUGCCACCAUGCCCGGCUAAUUUUUUGUGGUUUUAGUAGAGAUGGGGUUUUGCCAUGUUGGCCAGGCUGGUCUUGAACUCCUGACCUCAAGUGAUCCGCCUGCCCUGGCCUCCCAAAGUGCUGGGAUUACAGGUGUGAGCCACCACGUCCAGCUUCAAGAAUGACUUUAGAUUGGGUGUUGGGUCAGGUUUCUCGGAGGAAGGGACGCUUUGAGCUAGAUCUUAACAAGAGAGACAGCCAUAUAGAUUUAGGGGAAAAGCAUUCCAAGCCAAGGAGGCCACAGGUGCAAAAGCUCAGUCCAAGACAGGAUUCUGUGUAAUGAGGCCUACCUGGUCAAUCGUGGCGCCCCCAUCUCCCAUCCCAUUGUUUACAGUGACUGAGCCAAGAGUGGACCAUGUGGCCUGAACAGGCCCAAUCAGAGACCUCCAGAGAUUUGCUGUGUGAGUGAUGGGACAGAAAGGCUCUUUCUCUGGGAUUACAAAUCUUAAUGACUAUUUAAGCCUAGAAUUAUUGAGGAUCAUGUUGCUGGCAAGUGGCAAAAACCCACCUGAGUAUAAAGCUGGGGCAAACACAGACGAGUUAGAAAGGGACAGAGUCCUCCAUGGGGUUUGACCCUGGGUCCAACCACACUUGUCCUUAUUUCAAUCCAGUUAUGAAAACCCAUUAUGUCCUUCUUCGCUAUUGAACUGGAUUUCCAUCACUUGCAACCAAGUAGGUGCCUGGUCUCCCCCUAUAACUGGGGCUAAUUGUAGAUGGUCCCCGAACUAUGAUCAUUCAACUCACAAUUUUUGACUUUACAACAGUAUGAAACAAGACAUUCAGUAGAAACUGUACUUCAGAUAUUGAAUUUUGAUUCAAAAUUCUUUAUAACUUUAUUACAAUAUAGAUUUUGUGUUGGAUAGUUUUGCCCACUGUAGGCUAAUGUAAGUGUUCUGAGCAUGUUUAAGGCAGGCUAGGCUAAGCUAUGUUUGGUAGGUUAGGUAUAUUAAAUACAUUUUUGACUUAUGAUCAUAUUUUCCACUUAUGAUGGGUUUAUCAGGAUGCAAACCCAUCACAUAAAUGGAGGGAUAUCUGUAAAACAUUGUUAGACCUAUAAUUUUACUGCUGAUUAUUGGGAGGUGGUAUGGCACAGUGGUUAGGGGCAGAGGCCUUAGAGUUGGACUACAUGGGUUCAAAUCCCAGCUUGGCUGUUUUCUGUGUGGUUCUAACCCAGUUCUGCCAAAACUUGUUGAGUGGCCUUAGGUGAGUCACAUAAACUCUCUAGAUACAGCUUCCUCAUUGCAAAAUGUCUCAAGCUAAGUUUAGUAUUCUCCCUCCACCCUGACCCUGCUUCUGUUCCUCUUUCAGGCUGUCCCAUCUCAGUAAAUGGCCCAUCAGCCACCCAGAAGGUCAAGCCAGAUUCAUCCUUCACAUCUAAUCUACCUUCUAAACACAUCCACAAUCCAUUCCCCUUUCUCCAUCCCCACUGUCCCCGCUCCAGUCCAUGCCAUCAA
Molecule: long non-coding RNA, 4945 nt
Organism: Symphalangus syndactylus (siamang)
Lineage: Eukaryota; Metazoa; Chordata; Mammalia; Primates; Hylobatidae
Source: RefSeq, a predicted model, not a curated record